GCAAGUCGAACGAGGUAGCAAUACCUAGUGGCGCACGGGUGAGUAACGCGUGGAUAAUCUGCCCUUCACUGGGGAAUAACUAAUCGAAAGGUUAGCUAAUACCGCAUGAGGCCACAGUUUCUGAGGAAGCAGUGGUUAAAGAUUUAUUGGUGAAGGAUGAGUCUGCGUGGGAUUAGCUAGUUGGUGAGGUAAUGGCUCACCAAGGCUACGAUCUCUAACAGGUCUGAGAGGAUGACCUGUCACACUGGAACUGAGACACGGUCCAGACUCCUACGGGAGGCAGCAGUAGGGAAUAUUGCGCAAUGGACGAAAGUCUGACGCAGCGACGCCGCGUGAGUGAUGAAGGCCUUAGGGUCGUAAAGCUCUGUUGCAGGGGAAGAAAAAAAUGACGGUACCCUGCGAGAAAGGAUCGGCUAACUUCGUGCCAGCAGCCGCGGUAAGACGAGGGAUCCUAGCGUUGUUCGGAAUCAUUGGGCGUAAAGCGCAUGUAGGCUGCCAUUCAAGUCAGUUGUGAAAGCCCCGGGCUCAACCCGGGAAGUGCUUCUGAUACUGUUUGGCUUGAGUACUAGAGAGGAUAGUAGAAUUCCAGGUGUAGUGGUGAAAUACGUAGAUAUCUGGAGGAAUACCG
RNAcentral lists this ribosomal RNA (628 nucleotides) under uncultured bacterium. RNAcentral describes it as "bacterial SSU rRNA". It matches the Rfam family "Bacterial small subunit ribosomal RNA", at positions 57 to 711 of the family's 1533-position model. The record is from RNAcentral.